AGCGAACGCUGGCGGCAGGCCUAACACAUGCAAGUCGAACGAACCUUUCGGGGUUAGUGGCGGACGGGUGAGUAACACGUGGGAACGUGCCUUUAGGUUCGGAAUAACUCAGGGAAACUUGUGCUAAUACCGAAUGUGCCCUUCGGGGGAAAGAUUUAUCGCCUUUAGAGCGGCCCGCGUCUGAUUAGCUAGUUGGUUGAGGUAAUGGCUCACCAAGGCGACGAUCAGUAGCUGGUCUGAGUGGAUGAUCAGCCACAUUGGGACUGAGACACGGCCCAAACUCCUACGGGAGGCAGCAGUGGGGAAUCUUGCGCAAUGGGCGAAAGCCUGACGCAGCCAUGCCGCGUGAAUGAUGAAGGUCUUAGGAUUGUAAAAUUCUUUCACCGGGGACGAUAAUGACGGUACCCGGAGAAGAAGCCCCGGCUAACUUCGUG
RNAcentral lists this ribosomal RNA (434 nucleotides) under uncultured bacterium. RNAcentral's name for it is "partial 16S ribosomal RNA". It matches the Rfam family "Bacterial small subunit ribosomal RNA", at positions 29 to 507 of the family's 1533-position model. The record is from RNAcentral.